UACGUAGGGGGCGAGCGUUGUCCGGAAUUACUGGGCGUAAAGGGCGCGUAGGCGGCCAGGUAAGUCCGCUGUGAAAGACCGAGGCUCAACCUCGGGGUGUCAGCGGAGACUGCUUGGCUAGGGUGUCGGAGAGGAGCAGGGAAUCCCUGGUGUAGCGGUGGAAUGCGUAGAGAUCAGGGGGAACACCGAUGGCGAAGGCACUGCUCUGGCCGAAGACCGACGCUGAGGCGCGAAAGCUGGGGGAGCGAACGGG
This 253-nucleotide ribosomal RNA is filed under the name uncultured Armatimonadota bacterium. Its description in RNAcentral is "uncultured Armatimonadetes bacterium partial 16S ribosomal RNA". It matches the Rfam family "Bacterial small subunit ribosomal RNA", at positions 524 to 776 of the family's 1533-position model. Lineage: Bacteria; Bacillati; Armatimonadota. The record is from RNAcentral.